This is a long non-coding RNA of Ictidomys tridecemlineatus (thirteen-lined ground squirrel), 1883 nucleotides long. RefSeq lists it as uncharacterized. The record is from RefSeq and is a predicted model, not a curated record. NCBI's taxonomy places the organism in Eukaryota, Metazoa, Chordata, Mammalia, Rodentia, Sciuridae.
AGUGGUUCUGAGUCAUCGACAUGACCCCCCAAAGGACACGCAGGUUCUACUUUGCCACAGACUCCACUCCUCCCCACCGUCCCACACUGAGCUUCCCACAUCCUUCCUUUGCCUAGUUGGCUCCUGAAGGCUGAUAAGCUGGUGGCCCCCAGAGGCCAAGUUCGGGAGAGCUGAGUUCUCCUGUGGACUCUGCCGGGGUGUGCUGAGGUCCUGGGCCACCAGCCCCAGUCCCCGACCCUUUCCCUUAGUGUUUGUGCUGUGGACAGCAGGCAGAAGGCAGGCGCAGUGGCCAAGAGGAAAAGCAGUGGGGGACGUGAUUUCAGAGCUGGAAAGACGGGGGAAGGAAAUGACACAAAAUUUGGUUUUGAUGGAGCGGAGUCGCAGAGGCCACCAGCAGCCGGGAAGGGCUAUUGUACCCACGGGCUGAACAGAGUCACGGGGCCGGGUCAUUAACACCGAGCAGCCAGCCGGGAGGGGCGACGGAUCCCGGGGAGAGUGGUUCAUUAGCAACGCUUUCAGGAGCGGAAAUUAAGUUACAGAAACAAUGGUGCACCCCCGAGGACCACAGAACCCCGAUUCCUGGGACCCGCGCGCCGGGGUCCUUUCACCGCCCAGGCGGAGGGACCGAGCCUCCAGGGCGGGCGGUCAGCUGCAGCGGCUCAGGUCCACCGGAAGGGGGCGCCAGAUGCCGCCCGCCCUGCCCCGCUCCCCAGGCGCCCGCUCCCCGGGACUGGAGGACUGUUGCGGGGUGGCCUCGCCGAGCCACAAAGGGCAUCCGGGGGACAGGGCGCGAUCUGAAGUUGCCAGUAGCAGACGAACUGGAGAGACUCCUGUCCGCGACAGCAGAGUAGGGAGAACGGCCUGAUCCGGAGCCGGCGUCCGCUGGCGAGACGCAGGGACACCCGUGGCUCAGCCGGCCCGGCCUCAUGGGGCUGGCUGACUGCCUUGGUUUCCUGGCGGCUUCCACCCACACCGCUGCUCACCGCGCUCCAUGGGCUUUUCUCGCCGUGUAUCCCAGCUGCUGCGACUGGAGGCAGGAAUCGUGCAGCCUGUUCUUUCAAGCAAUUCUCUAAGUCUUGCAUAACCAUCCUUCAUCAAGCACGUGCUCUGAGGAGGAGGAGGGGCUCCGAGGGAAGAGCCACUGUCACACGUGGACCCCUCAACAUCUCCCAGAAAGUCAGGCAGAGGGACCCUCCUGGCUCGACUCUCUUCAAGUUCACUGUGCCUGAGGUCUUGGUGGAAGAGAGACUUCAUUAUUUCAAGCAAACAAGAGGCCGAGUGCUCUCACUGCUGCCAGAGCUUUUUUUUUGGUACUUGGGAUUGAACCCAGGGGCGCUUUACCAACGAGCUGCAUCACCAGCCCUUUUUACUUUCUUUAUUUUGGGGCAGGGUCUCAUUAAGUUACUGAGGCUGGCCUUAAAUUUGUGAUCCUCUGGUCUCAGCCUCCUGAGUCACUGGAAUUAUAGGCUUGCGACACUGCGCACGGCUGUGCAGAUCCAUUUUAAAACACUUUUAAGACGGACUUUUGUAUCACAUGAUGACCUCAAGAUGGCAACCAUACAGCAAGGACUACUCCCCUCCUUUUUUCUUUAAUAUUUAGUUUUUAGUUUUAGGUGGACACAAUAUCUUUAUCUUACAAUUAGGUGGUGCUGAGAAUCGAACCCAGUGCCUCAUGCAUGCUAGGCGGGCGCUGUACCACUGAGCCACAACCCCAGUCCCCCCUUCCUCUUUUGAUAAGGAAGAUAAAGGCUGCAAGAGACAGAUGCAUCGCAUGGUUGCCUGUCUGGACCAUUCUGCCUGCACUGCGUGGCCAGCAUAUCACCCAUGUGGAUGAAAGGUGACACUGGAGGCUGGGACCAGAAUAAAGACCUCACAAAGAACCA